RNAcentral lists this transfer RNA (76 nucleotides) under Thermorudis sp. RNAcentral's name for it is "tRNA-Arg". It matches the Rfam family "tRNA". From Rfam's summary of the family: Transfer RNA (tRNA) molecules are approximately 80 nucleotides in length. Their secondary structure includes four short double-helical elements and three loops (D, anti-codon, and T loops). The record is from RNAcentral. Lineage: Bacteria; Pseudomonadati; Thermomicrobiota; Thermomicrobia.
GCCCCCGUAGCUCAGUGGAGAGAGCAGCGGUUUCCUAAACCGCGUGUCGGAGGUUCCAUUCCUCCCAGGGACACCG